Molecule: ribosomal RNA, 253 nt
Filed under: uncultured bacterium
Lineage: Bacteria
Description: partial 16S ribosomal RNA
Rfam family: Bacterial small subunit ribosomal RNA
Source: RNAcentral
ACGGAGGGUGCGAGCGUUGUUCGGAAUUAUUGGGCGUAAAGCGAGUGUAGGCGGUUUGUCAGGUCGGGUGUGAAAGCCCGGGGCUCAACCCCGGAAUUGCGCUCGAAACCGACAUGACUAGAGUACGGGAGAGGGUUGCGGAAUUGUCGGUGUAGAGGUGAAAUUCGUAGAUAUCGGCAAGAACACCAGCGGCGAAGGCGGCAACCUGGAUCGAUACUGACGCUCAGACUCGAAAGCGUGGGGAGCAAACAGG